AAUGAACGCUGGCGGAAUGCUUUACACAUGCAAGUCGAACGGUAGAGGGGGCAACCCCUCGAGAGUGGCGAACGGGUGAGUAAUAUAUCGGAACGUGCCCAGUCGUGGGGGAUAACGUAGCGAAAGUUACGCUAAUACCGCAUACGAUCUAAGGAUGAAAGCGGGGGAUCGCAAGACCUCGCGCGAUUGGAGCGGCCGAUAUCAGAUUAGGUAGUUGGUGGGGUAAAGGCUCACCAAGCCAACGAUCUGUAGCUGGUCUGAGAGGACGACCAGCCACACUGGAACUGAGACACUGUCCAGACUCCUACGGGAGGCAGCAGUGGGGAAUUUUGGACAAUGGACGCAAGUCUGAUCCAGCCAUUCCGCGUGCAGGAUGAAGGCCCUCGGGUUGUAAACUGCUUUUGUACGGAACGAAAAGGUCUCUCUUAAUACGGGGGACUCAUGACGGUACCGUAAGAAUAAGCACCGGCUAACUACGUGCCAGCAGCCGCGGUAA
This 496-nucleotide ribosomal RNA is filed under the name uncultured bacterium. RNAcentral describes it as "partial 16S ribosomal RNA". It matches the Rfam family "Bacterial small subunit ribosomal RNA", at positions 29 to 523 of the family's 1533-position model. The record is from RNAcentral.